GACGAACGCUGGCGGCGUGCUUAACACAUGCAAGUCGAACGGUGAAGCGCCUUCCUUUUUGGUGGGUGUGGAUGAGUGGCGAACGGGUGAGUAACACGUGAGUAACCUGCCCCCUUCUUCUGGAUAACCGCAUGAAAGUGUGGCUAAUACGGGAUAUUCUGGGUCUGUCGCAUGAUGGGUCUGGGAAAGAUAUUGUUUCGGUGGGGGAUGGGCUCGCGGCCUAUCAGCUUGUUGGUGGGGUGAUGGCCUACCAAGGCGGUGACGGGUAGCCGGCCUGAGAGGGUGGACGGGCACACUGGGACUGAGACACGGCCCAGACUCCUACGGGAGGCAGCAGUGGGGAAUAUUGCACAAUGGGCGCAAGCCUGAUGCAGCGACGCCGCGUGAGGGAUGGAGGCCUUCGGGUUGUGAACCUCUUUCGCAAGUGAAGCAGGCCUGCCUCGUUUGUGGGUGGGUUGACGGUAGCUGGAUAAGAAGCGCCGGCUAACUACGUG
RNAcentral lists this ribosomal RNA (494 nucleotides) under uncultured bacterium. RNAcentral describes it as "partial 16S ribosomal RNA". It matches the Rfam family "Bacterial small subunit ribosomal RNA", at positions 28 to 507 of the family's 1533-position model. The record is from RNAcentral.